This 371-nucleotide ribosomal RNA is filed under the name Salmonella enterica subsp. enterica serovar Bovismorbificans. RNAcentral describes it as "bacterial SSU rRNA". It matches the Rfam family "Bacterial small subunit ribosomal RNA", at positions 884 to 1255 of the family's 1533-position model. The record is from RNAcentral. Lineage: Bacteria; Pseudomonadati; Pseudomonadota; Gammaproteobacteria; Enterobacterales; Enterobacteriaceae.
GGCCGCAAGGUUAAAACUCAAAUGAAUUGACGGGGGCCCGCACAAGCGGUGGAGCAUGUGGUUUAAUUCGAUGCAACGCGAAGAACCUUACCUGGUCUUGACAUCCACAGAACUUUCCAGAGAUGGAUUGGUGCCUUCGGGAACUGUGAGACAGGUGCUGCAUGGCUGUCGUCAGCUCGUGUUGUGAAAUGUUGGGUUAAGUCCCGCAACGAGCGCAACCCUUAUCCUUUGUUGCCAGCGGUCCGGCCGGGAACUCAAAGGAGACUGCCAGUGAUAAACUGGAGGAAGGUGGGGAUGACGUCAAGUCAUCAUGGCCCUUACGACCAGGGCUACACACGUGCUACAAUGGCGCAUACAAAGAGAAGCGACCU